This is a long non-coding RNA of Rosa rugosa (rugosa rose), 722 nucleotides long. RefSeq lists it as uncharacterized. The record is from RefSeq and is a predicted model, not a curated record. NCBI's taxonomy places the organism in Eukaryota, Viridiplantae, Streptophyta, Magnoliopsida, Rosales, Rosaceae. The transcript is spliced from 3 exons.
CAUAAAAGUUGUUCAAAAUCGAGUCUUCUAAACUGUAUUCAAAUUUCAUGAAAAUCCAACGGUUGAAUCUUCCAAAAUCAAGUCCCUCUUCGAAAUGGGUCCAGUUCUUCUCUUGAGAUUGAAUUCAAUUCAUGAAGUACUCAUUUCAAUCUUGAGCAAGUUGAAGCCAUCAAGGAGAGAGAGGCAAAAGGAGAACAUAUGCAAUCUGGGUACCUCGCCCAGCCCAACACCAACGCCGCCCAAGCUGCCCAGCGCCCUCCGAAACCCGCCUAUCUGUUCUGGGUAUUUGAGUUUUUGGUAAGGUUUUGCUGGGUGAAGUGUUUUGAUUCAAAAUCUCAUUUGGGUAUUUGAGUUUUUGUGAGGUUUUCUAUCAAGAUCGAAUUUUUGGGUUUAUGUUAGUUUUGGGGCACACAUUUUGAUUGGAAUUGGGUCCAGUGUGGUUUGGAAUGAAGAAAGUGAUGGGACUGUACUCGAUUGAGCUCACUAAGUUGUGAAUGAAUCGAAAAAAUUGAAUUGAAUUAGUUAACGAAAUCCGGGAUCUAGUGAUGAUUCUGGUCAUGGGUAUGCAUAUUCUCGAUCUAGUGAGAAGAUGCUGGAGGAUGAGAGCUUCCGGAUAAUAGAGGGUCUUUAACCAGACGCAGAUAAACAGAGGAGAGGAGAGAUGUGGAAGGAGAAGAGGUAAAACGCAAAAAGAAUAAAAUUAAUUUAAAAAAAAAAGAGUG